This 253-nucleotide ribosomal RNA is filed under the name uncultured bacterium. RNAcentral's name for it is "partial 16S ribosomal RNA". It matches the Rfam family "Bacterial small subunit ribosomal RNA", at positions 524 to 776 of the family's 1533-position model. The record is from RNAcentral.
UACGUAGGUGACAAGCGUUGUCCGGCUUUACUGGGCGUAAAGAGCGCGCAGGCGGUCGAUCAAGUCGAGUGUGAAAGCCCCCGGCUCAACUGGGGAGGGUCAUUCGAUACUGAUCGACUCGAAGGCAGGAGAGGGUAGUGGAAUUCCCGGUGUAGUGGUGAAAUGCGUAGAUAUCGGGAGGAACACCAGUGGCGAAGGCGACUACCUGGCCUGUUCUUGACGCUGAGGCGCGAAAGCUAGGGGAGCAAACGGG